This 388-nucleotide ribosomal RNA is filed under the name uncultured bacterium. RNAcentral's name for it is "bacterial SSU rRNA". It matches the Rfam family "Bacterial small subunit ribosomal RNA", at positions 30 to 417 of the family's 1533-position model. The record is from RNAcentral.
AUUAAACGCUGGCGGCAUGCCUUACACAUGCAAGUCGAACGGCAGCACGGGGGCAACCCUGGUGGCGAGUGGCGAACGGGUGAGUAAUGCAUCGGAACGUACCUUUCAGUGGGGGAUAACGUAGCGAAAGUUACGCUAAUACCGCAUAUUCUGUGAGCAGGAAAGCAGGGGAUCGCAAGACCUUGCGCUGAUUGAGCGGCCGAUGUCAGAUUAGCUAGUUGGUGAGGUAAAGGCUCACCAAGGCGACGAUCUGUAGCGGGUCUGAGAGGAUGAUCCGCCACACUGGAACUGAGACACGGUCCAGACUCCUACGGGAGGCAGCAGUGGGGAAUUUUGGACAAUGGGGGGCAACCCUGAUCCAGCCAUGCCGCGUGAGUGAAGAAGGCCU